AUACUUCACAAGAUACGUGAAGAGAGUCUUUGAGGUAAAAUCAAAUCCCUAUUAGGAUAAAUGAUUGAGUGUUCCUGUAAAGAAUUGUUCCCCUGGUUCAAGCAACCAGAUUUCAUUCCCAGAUGAUCAAAAAUGGACUUGAUGAAAUGGAAAAGCACUGAUAGAAACAGCCCCCUCUGCUGCAGGUCUGCUGGAGUUUGCUG
Molecule: long non-coding RNA, 203 nt
Filed under: Homo sapiens (human)
Lineage: Eukaryota; Metazoa; Chordata; Mammalia; Primates; Hominidae
Description: HSALNT0335374
Source: RNAcentral